RNAcentral lists this non-coding RNA (1038 nucleotides) under Lilliconus sagei. RNAcentral's name for it is "12S ribosomal RNA". The stretch from base 622 to 1034 matches the Rfam family "Microsporidia small subunit ribosomal RNA", at positions 752 to 1303 of the family's 1311-position model. Lineage: Eukaryota; Metazoa; Mollusca; Gastropoda; Neogastropoda; Conidae. The record is from RNAcentral.
UUCUAUUUGAGUUAAAAGUGAUUUCUAAAAAUUAUAUAAAAAUAAACAUAAACAAAUAAAUCAUAGAUAUUUGGAUAGAAAUUAAAAAUCUAGUCUAGCUUAGGGUAAUUUUUAAAAUAUGAUACGAAAAUAAAAUAAACAAAUAGAUUUUAAAUAAAUGUAUAUAUAUGAACUUGGUUCUGAUUCUAAAUAUAAUGAGUAACUAAAAAAAACACAUGGUUUUUAUUGAGAGAAGCGAGGUAAAAAGAAAAAUAAAAUAAUUAAUAAUAAAAUUUAUUUCACUUUCUAAAAUAUUAUAUAAUAAAUAAUGUUUUGAAUCUUCCGCUAACACCAGUGUUAAAGAUUAAUUAAAAAGCGAAAGCUUGUAUUAGUUUAGUAAACAAAAUUUGGUUAAUUUGGUGCCAGCAUCCGCGGUUAUACCAAAAAAUUAAGUUAUAUAGUUUAGGUAAAAAGACAGUUAAAUAAGAUAAAGUCUAUUAAAUUUUAAUAUAGGGGUGAAAUCCGGUUAUUAAUGAAAAAUCUAAUUGUGACUUAUAAAAUUGAAUCUGUGACAGCCUUAAGGGAAACUGGGAUUGGAUACCCCAUUAUUUUUGUUGUAAAAUUAAUUAAUAAAAUUUACCAGAGAACUACGAAUAAAAUAAAUUUAAAACUCAAAGAACCUGGCGGUAUUUUAGACCAUUUAGGGGAACCUGUCUAAUAAUCGAUAAUCCACGUUAAACCUGAUCUUCUUUUGUAAUACAACCUGUAUACCAUCGUCGUCAGGUAACCUUUAAAAGUUCAAAAGUUAGCCAGAAAAUCAUAAAUUAAAACGUCAGAUCAAGGUGCAGUUUAUAAGAAGGGAAAGGAUGGGUUACAAUUAAAAAUUUUUAAUCACGAAAAGCUUUUAGAACUAAAGGUUUGAAGGAGGACUUAAAAGUAAUUUUAUUUAUAAAAAUAAUUUGAAUUAGGCUCUAAAAUGCGUACAUAUCGCCCGUCGCUCUCGUUGAAAAAUGAGAUAAGUCGUAACAUAGUAGGGGUAAUGGAAAUUGUCCCUAGGUG